AACAUUACAAAACAUUGUUUGUAAUGAAAUACAUUUUCAUUAUGAAUUUAUUAACAGUGAUUUUAAAAUCUGUUUACAGGUGCUAUUAAAUCUUCAGAGGAACCUCCUGUCCAAAUAACAGAUAAAACAACGAUUGCUGUCAUCAUUUGUCUCUUGAGUUGUUUCGUCAUUGUGAUCGUGGCAUUGAUUCUCUGGAAGAGAUGGAAGACGUCUAGAUCUCCACAGGAUUAUAAUAUGGCUGCACGUGAAAAUAACAUCAAUGAACAUUCAGAUAGAGAAACAAUGUAACAACAGCAUCACAUCAAGCUAAUAUUUAUGUUGCAGGAUUAUGAGUCUUUGAUUGUAUGGUUUAAAAGGACUAAAGCUCCGUUUUCUGUUUUAUAUUUCUGUGAAAUAUGAUUGUUACUGAUCUGUUUUAUCAGAUAGUAUUGUAUAUAUACAGCUUAAAUGUAAAAUGACUUGUAGUUUUUUCUGCAUAUUUUUAUGUUAAAGAAAAUCAUUUUAAAAUCAACACUUGGCCUGUAUAAACUUAUUAAGAUGCACAGACCAAACUAUGUUUGCUUGUAUUUCUCUAAUUCAUUCAA
Molecule: non-coding RNA, 584 nt
Organism: Misgurnus anguillicaudatus (oriental weatherfish)
Lineage: Eukaryota; Metazoa; Chordata; Actinopteri; Cypriniformes; Cobitidae
Source: RefSeq, a predicted model, not a curated record